Molecule: long non-coding RNA, 2742 nt
Filed under: Prunus dulcis (almond)
Lineage: Eukaryota; Viridiplantae; Streptophyta; Magnoliopsida; Rosales; Rosaceae
Description: sRNA ncRNA
Source: RNAcentral
UAAAACCCCAUAAAAUUUAGUUUGAAGUUCUGUAGAAUAAAUGAAAAUUGUGUAGGAGCUUUUUUGUUCCAGCAGCUACAUAUGGGCAUGGGCUGUUGUAAAGAGCAAAUGGGUGAAGUUUCCCCUGUGUCUGAGUUCAAGAAUCAGGCUCCGAGAGUGCUUCGAAAGGUUCGUGGAGCUUAGGAAGCACUUUGGUUCCCUUCACCAACAAAACCAACAGCUGAUUACAGAUGAAUAAUUUGGCUUGGCUUGAGAAGCUUGUGGCAUGGGAGCUGAGCAUUUAUAAGUUUAGCAUUAGAGAGAGAAAGCUUGGAUAUCCAAUGAGAAACAGAGGUUCAAAGCAAGGAGAGAGGGAAUUUUGGGAAGACUUGUUGAGGGAAGAGAGGAAAAGAUGGGGGUGGGAGCAUAGGUGACUUAAGCAAAUUUCGAGCAGCUUGACAAAAGCUUGUCGCGCUCUUGGAGGGUUUUCCAGAGGAGAAAAAGGAAGGAGAUGGGAGGAUAGAGCUCGAAAUUGAAGGGUUCCAAUAGUAAGAGGGGAUGCUUGCUCUCUCUGGAUGUGGUGAUUUGUUGGGUAGGAGAUGCCCCCUUUUAUAGGCGCUGGAAGCUCCUCCUUCGCAAGAAACCCUAGCUGGUUCUUACCAAAUCUGCCAAGUCUCCCCCUCCAUUCCUCUUCCCUUCCUUUGAUUCAUCCCCAUUUUGUGAAAUCCCUCUAAUCCAAACACACAGAGACAAGAUUUUUUUGGAGCUCUAGAGUCUUCCCGCAGCUGUCCUUGCGACAAACUCUUAUCUCUGGCAACACUCUCUCCUUCUUUCCUCCCUUAUUUUAUGGCAAGAGUUGGUAGAGGAAAGAAGUGGGUAAAGGUGUUGGUCUAAAAGGUGUUUUACUCCCAGCAGCCUGCACACGCAAAUAUCCUUUGGUUUUACAUAUGGUCUGUCUUGGAUUUCGCUUUGGCCAUGUGCUGGAGGCUUCUUGAGAUAUUUUAUAAGUUGUUGGGCCACUUCCUAAGGUGAUGGGCUAAUUUACUAAAGCGAUGGGCCAAUUUACUAAGGUGAUGGGCCAUUUUUCUCUCUUUCAUGCUUACCCACAUAUUUAGGCUCAAGAAAUGGGCUCGAGUUUUGGGGCUCCUAAGUAGCCCAAAACUUCCACUUCUUGGCCCAUCAAUAGGCCUCGUGAAUACUCGUAACCAUCCAUACGACAACCCAGUCAGCAAGCCCCGGACAUUUGCGUGGUUUGUGCACACUUAAGCUUGUUGCGUGGCUAGGUGCAAAAUAAAGGUUUUCCGCUUGGCAUUGCAUGUUGUUUGGCAUGCUCGUGCUCAAAUUUUGCCGUAUUGUAAAGGGCAAUGAUCAGGCCGAAAUGACACUUGACUGGAUAAUAAGCAUGGGUUCAUAGAGCUGGUACAUUUUAUGGGCUUUUAUGACUUUUUGGCAUGACGGGUUACAUAUUUGCUUGGCAUGGCACAUGGACGCUAACUCAUGUGUCAUGUGAGCGCGUCCGACGAACUCUUGCGUACCCAAGUCGGAUAUCCUCUUAGUAAGGUGUCUUAUUGGGCCGGGAGAAUAUAUUUGGGCCCAGCCUUGGAAUUCUGAGCCUCAACACUAGGCACGAGCCGAGCCCUGUCUAGGAGCCCUACCCAAUUUUUUUGAAAUUCUCCCCUACCUAUAUACUCCAACCCAGCCUUGUAAAAAAUAAAAAUAAAAUAAAACAUACCUAGCCACUCCACCCAAUCUGGUUUUAUCUCCCCGAGUCACCUUGUGUGCUCCAUCUCCACCAUCUCACAUGUGAGGGCCCACCCAUAUGUCUUUUUCUCUUUUUCUUGUACACUUAAGGCCCUUUUGGUAGUGUUUUCAGAGAAUGUUUUCUUAGAAUAUUUUCAGAGAGUGAAAAUAAGAAAAUGAAUUUGCAUUUUCAGGAAUUGAAAAUGCGUUUGGUAGAUUAAUUAGAAAACAUAUUCAGAAAACAAAAACAAUGAAAACGUGUCUGGUAGUACAAUUUCAGAAUAAUAAUAUAUGAGUUACUUUUCAAGUGUAUUUUUGCAAAUUUAUGUUCCAAAAAAAUAUUUUAAAAAUGUAUAAUUUAACAAAUAAAAAAUUAUAUUAUUUUUUAAAAGUUAAAACUAUCUUCAUCUCUUUUAUUUUUUGUUUUAUUUUUCCUAUUUUUUCUAUUUUUUCAGCCGACACCGUCCCUUUCUUUUUCUUUUUUCUCCUCCUCCUUUCUUUCUUCCUCUUCUCUCCUUUCUCUUUUCUUCUUCCUUCCCAUCCAAGGCUUGAUAUUCUCUCUCUCUCUCUCUCUCUCUCUCUCUCUCUCUCUCUCUCUCUCCCCUCCUUUGCAGUUUGCUGAGUGGGUGGUGGUUUUGAUGGUAGGGUCAAUUGGGUUCGACUGGGUGGUGGUGUGAUUAGCAAUUGGCUGGUCUGUUGUGGUGAUUGUGGUUCGAUUAGCCUAUAGUGGCUAUUGGGUGGUGGUUGAGAAAGGGGGAGAGAAGAGAAGGGUGAGUGAGGGGGAGAGAAGAUUUUUGUUUUUUGGUCUGAUGGGGAGAGAAGAUUGAGCGAGAGAUUGACAAGAAUGAGCAGCAUCAAUUGUUCUUUUUCAACCUCCCCUGUUUUGAGCAUUACCCAUGAGAAUGAAACAUCUUUUUUUGUUUUGUUUUUUCUUAAAAUUUUUUUAUGUUUUCUACAAGUACACCUGUUUUCAUUUUAUGAAAACAUUCUCAGUGUUUUAUGUUUUUGGCCUAAACCCUAAAC